Molecule: transfer RNA, 69 nt
Filed under: Urocitellus parryii (Arctic ground squirrel)
Lineage: Eukaryota; Metazoa; Chordata; Mammalia; Rodentia; Sciuridae
Also listed under: 1 other name
Description: Spermophilus parryii (Arctic ground squirrel) tRNA
Rfam family: tRNA
About the family: Transfer RNA (tRNA) molecules are approximately 80 nucleotides in length. Their secondary structure includes four short double-helical elements and three loops (D, anti-codon, and T loops).
Source: Rfam by way of RNAcentral
GGGGUUGUAGCUUAGUGGUAGAGCACUUGCCUCGCAUGCAUGGAACACUGGGUUUGAUUCUCAGCACCA